RNAcentral lists this ribosomal RNA (207 nucleotides) under uncultured bacterium. Its description in RNAcentral is "partial 16S ribosomal RNA". It matches the Rfam family "Bacterial small subunit ribosomal RNA", at positions 568 to 774 of the family's 1533-position model. The record is from RNAcentral.
UGCGUAGGCGGGUUUCUAAGUCAGAGGUGAAAGCCUGGAGCUCAACUCCAGAACUGCCUUUGAUACUGGAAGUCUUGAGUAUGGCAGAGGUGAGUGGAGCUGCGAGUGUAGAGGUGAAAUUCGUAGAUAUUCGCAAGAACACCAGUGGCGAAGGCGGCUCACUGGGCCAUUACUGACGCUGAGGCACGAAAGCGUGGGGAGCAAACA